RNAcentral lists this unclassified non-coding RNA (253 nucleotides) under uncultured bacterium. Its description in RNAcentral is "contains 16S-23S intergenic spacer region". It matches the Rfam family "Bacterial small subunit ribosomal RNA", at positions 524 to 776 of the family's 1533-position model. The record is from RNAcentral.
UACGAGGGGUGCAAACGUUAUUCGGAUUUACUGGGUGUAAAGGGUGUGUAGACGGUUUGUUAAGUUCGUUGUUAAAUUUUUCAGCCUAACUGGAAACUUGCGAUGGAAACUGGCAGACUUGAGGGUGAAAGAGAGAAGUGGAAUUCUCGGAGUAGCGGUAAAAUGCGUAGAUCUCGAGAGGAACACCGAUGGCGAAAGCAGCUUCUUGGUUCACUUCUGACGUUGAAACACGAAAGCGUGGGGAGCAAACAGG